AGAGUUUGAUCCUGGCUCAGGAUGAACGCUAGCUACAGGCUUAACACAUGCAAGUCGAGGGGAAACGACAUCGAAAGCUUGCUUUUGAUGGGCGUCGACCGGCGCACGGGUGAGUAACGCGUAUCCAACCUGCCCACCACUUGGGGAGUAACCUUGCGAAAGUAAGACUAAUACCCAAUGAUAUCUCGUACGAAGACAGUCUGAAAGAGAUUAAAGAUUUAUCGGUGAUGGAUGGGGAUGCGUCUGAUUAGCUUGUUGGCGGGGUAACGGGCCCACCAAGGCAACGAUCAGUAGGGGUUCUGAGAGGAAGGUCCCCCACAUUGGAACUGAGACACGGUCCAAACUCCUACGGGAGGCAGCA
Molecule: ribosomal RNA, 361 nt
Filed under: uncultured bacterium
Lineage: Bacteria
Description: bacterial SSU rRNA
Rfam family: Bacterial small subunit ribosomal RNA
Source: RNAcentral